UACGGAGGGUGCGAGCGUUGUCCGGAAUCACUGGGCGUAAAGGGCGCGUAGGCGGCAUGCCAAGCGUGUGGUGAAAGCCCGGGGCUCAACCCCGGGUCGGCCGUGCGGACUGGCGUGCUCGAGCACUGUAGGGGCGGGUGGAAUUCCGGGUGUAGCGGUGGAAUGCGUAGAGAUGCGGAGGAACACCGAUGGCGAAGGCAGCCCCCUGGGUCGACACUGACGCUCAGGCACGAAAGCGUGGGGAGCAAACAGG
Molecule: ribosomal RNA, 253 nt
Filed under: uncultured bacterium
Lineage: Bacteria
Description: partial 16S ribosomal RNA
Rfam family: Bacterial small subunit ribosomal RNA
Source: RNAcentral